GGGAGGCUGAGGCAUGGGAAUCUCUUGAACCCGGGAGGCGGAGCUUGCAGUGAGCCGAGAUCAAGCCACCGCACUCCAGCCUGGGCAACAGAGCGAGACUCCGUCUCACAAAAUAAAUAAAAGCCCCGUCUCCAAAUAUGUCACAUUGUGAGGUACCCGGGGUCAAGACUUCAACAUAAGUUGGCGGGGGGCGGGGUGCAGGGCAUAACCCUGCCCAUGACAGCCCUGGUUCAUUUCUGAACUGGUUGAAGGCUGCCUCCCUCUGCCCUUGACGCCGCACCACCUUCCUGCCUGGAUCCUCUGCUCCCAUGUACUGUCCACAUGCUGCUCGAGGGCUCCUUCUUAUGCGCCACCUAUCCUGCUUCUCAGCCCUCAGUGAAGCCCAGUUCCUUCACAGGACGCAGGAAUCCCUCUUGAACCUGGCCCUACCUUUCUCGCCUGCCUGUGUUCCUUCCAUACUUCUUGUCUUGCGCUUGUCCCAGUGGGCGCUGAACUGCUGUGACCUGGCUGUGCUGUUUCCUGACUCGAUACUUCUGCUUCUAUUUAUGCCCUCACCCUGAGUUUUUUGCCUUUGCCUGCCUACCCCUUCUUCAUUCUUCAAAAUUGACAGUGAGAGGGAGACUUCUGUGGUUCCUUGAAUUCCAUCCCAGUUCUGGCUUCUGGCCCAGAGAGACUUGCAUGCAUGCACAGAACUCAGCACAGGCAGACGGCAUGCGGACAGAUCACAGCUAGCUGCAGGCCUCACCUUAGGGGAAAUUUG
RNAcentral lists this long non-coding RNA (760 nucleotides) under Pan troglodytes (chimpanzee). Its description in RNAcentral is "long non-coding RNA NONPTRT012961". The record is from RNAcentral. Lineage: Eukaryota; Metazoa; Chordata; Mammalia; Primates; Hominidae.